RNAcentral lists this non-coding RNA (779 nucleotides) under Iberoporus pluto. The record is from RNAcentral. Lineage: Eukaryota; Metazoa; Arthropoda; Insecta; Coleoptera; Dytiscidae.
AAAAAGUUUAAUUUUAGUUUAAAGUUUUAUUUAAUGUUUUAUUUACAUGUAAAUUUUAGUAUGGAAAUAAAUUUAAUUUAAAAAAUUAAAUUUAAAUUAUUUAUUCGCAGUAUAGAGUUUUAUUAAUCUAAGUAAUUAGGAUAUAUAAAUAGAUUUUAGUAUUAACAAAAUUUGUGCCAGCAGUUGCGGUUAUACAAAAAAUAUAAAUAAAAUUUAUUUAAAGUUAGUAAAUUGAAUUGUUUUAAUUAGAAUUAAGUUUAUGAGGUGAAAUUUAAAAUUUAAUGGUUUUAUUAAUUGGGUUUUUGAUUCUAUGAAAUUUAAAUAUUAAACUAGGAUUAGAUACCCUAUUAUUUUAAAUGUAAAUUAGUUGUUUAAAGAAGUAUUAGUUAUGAUCUUGAAAUUUAAAAAUUUUGGCGGUAUUUUAGUCUAUUCAGAGGAACCUGUUCUGUAAUCGAUAGUCCACGAUUUAAUUUACUUAGUUUAAUAAUUUGUAUAUCGUUGUUAUUAAAUAUUUUAUAAGAAAAUAAAUGUUUAAGAGUUUUUUAAAAAAUAAUUUCAAAUCAAGGUGCAGUAUAUGAUUAAGAAGAAAUGGGUUACAAUAAGUUUAUUUAAAUGGAGUUGUAUAUGAAAUAUAUAAUAAAGGUGGAUUUGAAAGUAAUAUAAUUUAUUUAAAUUAUAUGAUUUUAGCUCUAAAAUGUGUACAUAUUGCCCGUCGCUCUUAUUAUAAAAUAAGAUAAGUCGUAACAUAGUAGAUGUACCGGAAGGUGUAUCUAGAAUGG